RNAcentral lists this transfer RNA (76 nucleotides) under Candidatus Andersenbacteria bacterium RIFCSPHIGHO2_02_FULL_46_16. RNAcentral's name for it is "tRNA-Lys". It matches the Rfam family "tRNA". Rfam says of the family: Transfer RNA (tRNA) molecules are approximately 80 nucleotides in length. Their secondary structure includes four short double-helical elements and three loops (D, anti-codon, and T loops). RNAcentral also lists the same sequence under 3 other names. Lineage: Bacteria; Candidatus Anderseniibacteriota. The record is from RNAcentral.
GCACCCAUAGCUCAACUGGCAGAGCAGUGGCCUUUUAAGCCAACGGUUCCAGGUUCGAUUCCUGGUGGGUGCACCA